GACGAACGCUGGCGGCGUGCUUAACACAUGCAAGUGGAGCGACGAACCGGGCUUUUAGCCCGGGGCAGAGCCGCGAACGGGUGAGUAACACGUGGGUAACCCACCCCGAUGACCGGGACAACCCGAGGAAACUCGGGCUAAUACCGGAUGAGCUCGCACCUCAGGAGGGGUGCGAGGAAAGAUAGCUUCGGCCUUCGCAUCGGGACGGGCCCGCGGCCCAUUAGCUUGUUGGUGGGGUAACGGCCUACCAAGGCUGCGAUGGGUAGCUGGUCUGAGA
Molecule: ribosomal RNA, 277 nt
Filed under: uncultured bacterium
Lineage: Bacteria
Description: partial 16S ribosomal RNA
Rfam family: Bacterial small subunit ribosomal RNA
Source: RNAcentral